CAUUUCAGGCAGGCAUUAAUGAUAUUCGGCAUCGUUGCAAAUUAUUGGCAUUGGGAAUUGGAAUUGAAUUGAAAUGCCAUUUGUGCGUGGUGAGUCUUGUUCAAUAUGUAUAUCCGUAUCCUCUCUCGGAAUCCACACAUUGCGCCGCAGUUCAGUCCCGCUCCUUGCUCCUCCAUUGGGCCACAGCCUGAUCCUGUGCCGGCAAACUCAUUUACAAUAAAUGAAGACUGACUGAGGCAGCCACCGCCACGAAACAAAUGAACUCUUUUUUUUUUUUGUAUUUUGUGGCCCUUGACAGGAUGCAGGAGCACACACACGAGGGUCUGGUGCUGCUGAGGGUUUUGCUAUUUUUCAUUUAAUUAAAUAUUUAACAUGCAAAGUGCAUUAUGAGCCACCAGGCAGGAUGAGGCAGGCACGAGGCACGAGCAGGAGCUCUCUCAUCCAUCCACCACAGACGAUAACUAAGUAAAGUUUGUCGGUGGGAAUGGCAAUGGCAGACAGGAUGCUGGCUGGCUGUGGGGGACAUCACAUCGAUGAUUAUACAUCCAUCUGUCCCUGUCCAUGUUUGUCGAGGGCAAAGCUGUUGGCUUGUGAUAAUUCCAUAAACAUCAAAUUGCAUGAAGUGCGUUCAAGCGAAGUGC
This 641-nucleotide long non-coding RNA is filed under the name Drosophila guanche. Lineage: Eukaryota; Metazoa; Arthropoda; Insecta; Diptera; Drosophilidae. The record is from RNAcentral.